CAAAGGCUUGGUCCUGACUUUUUUAUCGGCUCUACCCCAGCUUACACAUGCAAGUAUCCGCACCCCCGUGAGAAUGCCCUAACAGUUCCCUGCUCGGGAACAAGGAGCUGGUAUCAGGCACACCUUUGUUUAGCCCACGACGCCUUGCUUUGCCACACCCCCAAGGGAGUUCAGCAGUGAUAGACAUUAAGCCAUAAGUGAAAACUUGACUUGGCUAGGGGUUACAGGGCCGGUAAAACUCGUGCCAGCCACCGCGGUUAUACGAGAGGCCCAAGUUGAUAUUUGUCGGCGUAAAGCGUGGUUAAGGCCCGGAAGAAAAAUAAAGUCGAACGCCUUCAAGACUGUCAUACGUGUUCGAAGGUAAGAAGUUCAGCAACGAAAGUGACUUUAUACCCCUGAACCCACGAAAGCUACGGUACAAACUGGGAUUAGAUACCCCACUAUGCCUAGCCCUAAACAUAAAUAGAAUGUCACCUUACUAUUCGCCCGGGUACUACGAGCAUUAGCUUGAAACCCAAAGGACUUGGCGGUGCUUCAGACCCCCCUAGAGGAGCCUGUUCCAGAACCGACACUCCCCGUUUAACCUCACCCUUCCUAGUUUUAACCGCCUAUAUACCGCCGUCGCAAGCUUACCCUGUGAAGGUCUUAUAGUGAGCAGAAUCGGCACAGCCCAGAACGUCAGGUCGAGGUGUAGCUUAUGGAGGGGGCAGCAAUGGGCUACAUUCCCUGCAAUCAGGGAAUUACGGAUAACGCGUUGAAAUACGUGUUUGAAGGAGGAUUUAGCAGUAAGCAGCAAGCAGAGAGUCCUGCUGAAGCCGGCUAU
Molecule: ribosomal RNA, 823 nt
Filed under: Eugerres plumieri (striped mojarra)
Lineage: Eukaryota; Metazoa; Chordata; Actinopteri; Gerreiformes; Gerreidae
Description: partial small subunit ribosomal RNA
Rfam family: Bacterial small subunit ribosomal RNA
Source: RNAcentral